RNAcentral lists this long non-coding RNA (634 nucleotides) under Brassica napus (rape). RNAcentral describes it as "long non-coding RNA (BNAP_LNC003360)". Lineage: Eukaryota; Viridiplantae; Streptophyta; Magnoliopsida; Brassicales; Brassicaceae. The record is from RNAcentral.
UGGUUCUUCUAAGUGAUGUUGAGGGUCUCUAUACUGGCCCUCCAAGCGAUCCUAAUUCAACGUUGAUCCACACAUACAUUAAAGAAAAGCACCAGGAAGAGAUCACCUUCGGGGAAAAGUCCAAAUUAGGACGAGGGGGUAUGACUGCAAAAGUUAAAGCUGCUGUUAGUGCUGCUUAUGGUGGCAUUCCCGGUAUUAUUACCAUGACUGCAAAAGUUAAAGCUGCUGUUAGUGCUGCUUAUGGUGGCAUUCCUGUUAUCAUUACCAGGUAAAAGGCCCUUCGGUACUCAUAAGUUCUUAGCAUCAGCUUGUUCCCCUAAAUAUCUGAAUCUAGAAGGGAGUCAGAGACUAAUCAAUAAGCUAGUAAUUUGGAUUGUUCGGAUAAAAAUGAAAAUGUUGGGUAAUUCGGAUAAUUUUAAUAUUUUGGAUGAAAAAUAUUCUGUUAAUUAUAUUUUUCGGAUAAUUUGGUUUAUAAAUAGUAUUUUUAGGAUUUUGUUACUUAGAAAUUAAAUAUAAUUAACACUUUUAGGUAUAUAGGAUACUCAUUCGUUUUUUCGGUUCAAGAGAUAUAGGAACCACUCAGUUAUAAAUUCGGUUCGGUUUAUUCGGUACGGUGUGGUUUCUUGGUUCGGGA